Molecule: ribosomal RNA, 231 nt
Filed under: uncultured bacterium
Lineage: Bacteria
Description: partial 16S ribosomal RNA
Rfam family: Bacterial small subunit ribosomal RNA
Source: RNAcentral
ACGGUGAGUAACACGUAUCCAACCUGCCGUCUACUCUUGGACAGCCUUCUGAAAGGAAGAUUAAUACAAGAUGGCAUCAUGAGUCCGCAUGUUCACAUGAUUAAAGGUAUUCCGGUAGACGAUGGGGAUGCGUUCCAUUAGAUAGUAGGCGGGGUAACGGCCCACCUAGUCUUCGAUGGAUAGGGGUUCUGAGAGGAAGGUCCCCCACAUUGGAACUGAGACACGGUCCAA